CAGUCGCCGCGGUAAUACGGAGGGUGCAAGCGUUGUCCGGAUUUAUUGGGUUUAAAGGGUGCGUAGGCGGCCUAAUAAGUCAGUGGUGAAAGCCUCCAGCUUAACUGGAGAACUGCCAUUGAUACUGUUAGGCUUGAGUAUACUUGAGGUAGGCGGAAUUGACAGUGUAGCGGUGAAAUGCAUAGAUAUUGUCAAGAACACCAAUUGCGAAGGCAGCUUACUAAAUUAUAACUGACGCUGAGGCACGAAAGUGUGGGUAUCAAACAGGAUUAGAUACCCGAGUAGUCCCUGUCUCUUAUAC
RNAcentral lists this ribosomal RNA (301 nucleotides) under uncultured bacterium. RNAcentral describes it as "partial 16S ribosomal RNA". It matches the Rfam family "Bacterial small subunit ribosomal RNA", at positions 509 to 807 of the family's 1533-position model. The record is from RNAcentral.